GACGAACGCUGGCGGCGUGCUUAACACAUGCAAGUCGAACGGAAAGGCCCUGCUUGCCGGGUACUCGAGUGGCGAACGGGUGAGUAACACGUGGGUGAUCUGCCCUGCACUUCGGGAUAAGCCUGGGAAACUGGGUCUAAUACCGGAUAGGAGCCAUUUUUAGUGUGAUGGUUGGAAAGUUUUUUCGGUGUAGGAUGAGCUCGCGGCCUAUCAGCUUGUUGGUGGGGUAAUGGCCUACCAAGGCGGCGACGGGUAGCCGGCCUGAGAGGGUGGACGGCCACAUUGGGACUGAGAUACGGCCCAGACUCCUACGGGAGGCAGCAGUGGGGAAUAUUGCACAAUGGGCGCAAGCCUGAUGCAGCGACGCCGCGUGGGGGAUGACGGCCUUCGGGUUGUAAACUCCUUUCGGUAGGGACGAAGCUUUUUGUGACGGUACCUAGAGAAGAAGCACCGGCUAACUACGUG
This 465-nucleotide ribosomal RNA is filed under the name uncultured bacterium. RNAcentral's name for it is "partial 16S ribosomal RNA". It matches the Rfam family "Bacterial small subunit ribosomal RNA", at positions 28 to 507 of the family's 1533-position model. The record is from RNAcentral.